RNAcentral lists this ribosomal RNA (259 nucleotides) under uncultured Staphylococcus sp. Its description in RNAcentral is "partial 16S ribosomal RNA". It matches the Rfam family "Bacterial small subunit ribosomal RNA", at positions 103 to 355 of the family's 1533-position model. The record is from RNAcentral. Lineage: Bacteria; Bacillati; Bacillota; Bacilli; Caryophanales; Staphylococcaceae.
CGGGUGAGUAACACGUGGAUAACCUACCUAUAAGACUGGGAUAACUUCGGGAAACCGGAGCUAAUACCGGAUAAUAUAUUGAACCGCAUGGUUCAAUAGUGAAAGACGGUUUUGCUGUCACUUAUAGAUGGAUCCGCGCCGCAUUAGCUAGUUGGUAAGGUAACGGCUUACCAAGGCAGCGAUGCGUAGCCGACCUGAGAGGGUGAUCGGCCACACUGGAACUGAGACACGAUCCAGACUCCUACGGGAGGCAGCAGCC